CCCUUAGAUGUCCUGGGCCGCACGCGCGUUACACUGACAGAUGCAUCAAGCGGUUCACCUUGGCCGACAGGCCCGGGUAAUCUUUGUAAACUCUGUCGUGCUGGGGAUAGAUCAUUGCAAUUAUUGAUCUUCAACGAGGAAUUCCUAGUAAGCGUGAGUCAUCAGCUCGCGUUGAUUACGUCCCUGCCCUUUGUACACACCGCCCGUCGCUGCAACUGAUUGGGUGACCUGGUGAACAUCUUGGACCGGCUUGCCCAUUUUUGGACGAGUUGGAAAAGGACGUAAAUCAGGUACAUCUAGAAAUUGCAAAAGUCGUAACA
Molecule: ribosomal RNA, 320 nt
Filed under: uncultured eukaryote
Lineage: Eukaryota
Description: partial 18S ribosomal RNA
Rfam family: Eukaryotic small subunit ribosomal RNA
Source: RNAcentral